UAACUAACGGUGUGAUACUUUGCUGC
Molecule: non-coding RNA, 26 nt
Filed under: Mus musculus (house mouse)
Lineage: Eukaryota; Metazoa; Chordata; Mammalia; Rodentia; Muridae
Source: RNAcentral